This 465-nucleotide ribosomal RNA is filed under the name uncultured bacterium. RNAcentral describes it as "partial 16S ribosomal RNA". It matches the Rfam family "Bacterial small subunit ribosomal RNA", at positions 28 to 507 of the family's 1533-position model. The record is from RNAcentral.
GACGAACGCUGGCGGCGUGCUUAACACAUGCAAGUCGUACGGUAAGGCCCUUUCGGGGGUACACGAGUGGCGAACGGGUGAGUAACACGUGCGUAACCUGCCCACAACUUUGGGAUAACGCUAGGAAACUGGUGCUAAUACUGGAUAUGUGCCCCUGCUGCAUGGUGGGUGUUGGAAAGCUCCGGGGGUUGUGGAUGGACUCGCGGCCUAUCAGCUUGUUGGUGGGGUAGUGGCCUACCAAGGCGGCGACGGGCCGCCGGCCUGACGGGGUGACCGGCCACAAUGGGGCUGAGAGACGGCCCAGACUCCUACGGGGGGCAGCAGGGGGGAAUAUUGCACAAUGGGGGCAAGCCUGGUGCAGCAACGCCGCGGGCGGGAUGACGGGCUUCGGGUUGUAAACCGGUUUCAGCAGGGAAGAAGCUGUUUGUGACGGUACCUGCAGAAGAAGCACCGGCUAACUACGUG